AAGGCGGUAGCAAUGCUGCGAGAGGAGACACCGCAAAGACUUUAUCCGGAUCUUGGGCGGCGGCGGCGCUGCUGGAUUGGCGGGGUCACCCUUCUGCAAGUAACGGAGCAGCUGGAAAAGGAGAGACCUGGGCCUCAGAUGUGGUAGUCAGACAAUGCUGAAGAUUAUGAUAAAGGAAAGUAUUUGGGAAAUGUUUAAAUUGUUUUUGUUAGCUCUUGGUAGUAGGGGUUUUGUUAUGCAUUUUGCUAACCUGGUGAACUGUGUCUGCUUUGGGGGAAAUGGGAUUUCAGUUUGAAAUAAUGGUGGAUUAACCUCUUACCCUGCCUAUAGACCUGUAUUACCUUAGUUAUUGUACAGUUAACUUCUCUCUAUCCCUUGCAGAUAAUGUGUUUGUUAAUCCCUCUUGUAUAAUAGUUACUGGAUAUUUCUUCUUAUGCUAAUUCUUUGAUCUGGUGAAACACAGCAACCAACAUAUAAUAGUUGGAACCAGUUACUCUUUACUUUGCAGAGUAUCAGACAAAUGCCUUAAAAAUUUACUAAGGUACUUAAAGGUUGCUUGUUUAGUUGCAACCAAAGCCGAGUAUGCUUAUACACAUACAGUAGAAAAUGUACAUACCUAAGCAUCUUCUGAAGUAGAGCUGUUGAAUUAAAUAUGAUUGGACCAGUUAUAAAAAGGGUCAAAUAAAAGAAAAUGGACAUGUACAAAAGGACUAUUUUAACUUGAUUCAUUUAAUAUUAGCAUUUCAAGAAAUAAACCCUGAGCGUUUCAGAAGAAAAUUUAUAUAAGAGUCAACUUACUUUGGUUUGAGGCAUUGCUUUCAGUUCCAGAGAUCUGAUGGUAUAUUGCAGAAUGUUGUGCUUGGUGUGAAAUCUGUUUAUUUAUAAACUUUGCUUCACAUUGAAGGGAAACAAAACUCAGUAUCAUUAAUUCAGUAACCAAGGCCAGCAGUUUAUUUCUUCUGUUGCAGAAGAAACAAACUUUAUUUGGCUCCAUCUAACUGACCCAAGAUGAGUAACUGAAAAAAAUCGAGUAUAACAGUUACUGAUGCCUUAUCCUUUGUGCCUUGAAUAGGGAAAAACAUCUCCAGUAGCAGGAUUGAAUGCGGGCACUGAGUGUUUCAACUAGAAUCAAUGAGCUGGAUUCAGACUACAUUUUCUGCUGAUGGAAGGAAUUUGUCAGCAAAAUGGAGCUGUUCUUCCCCCUUCAGCUCACUGAUCUCCCCAAAAUACUGCUCCUGAGGUGGCAGGGCACCAUCAGGUAAAUCAGAAGGACUAAUUAAUGCAAAUCUCCCCCUUUCAUUUAAUGGAAUACUUAGAUGAGAUCCAACCCAUUAUGUAAGGUGAUAACCAUUUAGCAGUCUAAGUUAAAUGAAGGGCGUUUAUAAUACUGCCUUUGUGCUUAAGAAAUCAAUCACAAGAGGUGAAAUGCCUACUAUCCAAGAUGAACAUGUGUUUCUGAUAAUUGGUUUUUCUGUUUUGAUGUAAAGUUGAUCUUUCACUGCAGCUGUUUUUGAAGAAUUGCAGAAGAAGUGGUGAGUUCCUAGGAAGAGGUAGUAGGUUGCAUAGUUUUAGGGCAGUGGUUUUGCCCAGAAGGAGUUAACUAUACAACCUGCUGCCUUUCUUAGGGCUUUAAAAUUACAACAGGAUCAUAUUGGCUCAGUCUAACCUUCCUUCAUUAGAGUAUGGUAUGCAGAACUUAAUAUUGCUUUGUCCUCUUGUCUGAAUAAUCCAGAUAAGGUACUUCUACAUUAACUCUUACAGGCUCCAGAACGUACACACACAGGGUAAUUCAGAGUGAAAUGCAGUCAAAUACAUCAUUAACUAGGACUGAAGUGAAACAGUGCUCCCUUGAGCAGUUGGUAAGAAUCCUUGCAUUUUGAUUAUCCCAGUAAGAGGACAAGAGAGAAGAUUACUCCAAAAAAAAGUCUGAAAAUCAUAUUUCUGUAAAGUAGGACAUAGUACAGUUCUAAACAAAUAUUUCGAAGCCCAUUUUCUUCAAUAGACAAAGAAGGAUGCAGCUUCAGUUCAGAUGGCACUGAUAGUAAUGUAGUUGCUGUAUAGCGUAGUGUCCAGUGAGAUUUUGUUACACUGGUUCCAUCUGUUUCUCAUGCAGUGAUCCUUGUAGUCUGGGUGUAAGUUGUGGUCUGAGGCUUUAGAACCCUUCUGUCUUAUCCUACAUCCAAACUUGGAAAUUGUCACAGGUAUACACACGGAGUGAGAGAUCUAAGGAUGAUGUGACAACACGAAAAAGAUCCUGCAAAAAAAAAAAAUCCUUUAAAAUUUGGUGUUUCUUAAGUGCAGUGUAAGUGGGGCAGUAGUAGUAGUAGUAGUAGUAACUGUAUAUACCACCCAU
Long non-coding RNA from Eublepharis macularius, 2353 nucleotides. RefSeq lists it as uncharacterized. The record is from RefSeq and is a predicted model, not a curated record. The transcript is spliced from 4 exons. Lineage: Eukaryota; Metazoa; Chordata; Lepidosauria; Squamata; Eublepharidae.